GGAAGUUAAUUUAAUCCUUGGAGUUUUAUAUGUGUACUCACUAUCUUAAAUGGUAUGUUUUUUUUUUUUUUUUGAGAUAUGGUCUCACUGUGUAGUUCAGAUUGGCCUUGAACUCACUAUAUAGCCCAGGCUGACUUCAAACUCACAGCGAUCCUCCUGCCUCAGUCUCAGAUUUGAGUUUUCUCUUUAACUUGAGUUACUUAGAAGCAUCAGUAUUUAUUCUAAUAGUUUAAAUUUGAAAUGUUCCCUAAAGGCCCUGAGUUAAAGGCUUGGCACUCAGCUUGGUGCUAUUGUGGGGGCAGGGGUGGUUAUGGAAUCGUUAAGAGAAAAAACCUUAGUGGGAGAUUUUAGAUCAUUUGGGGGCAUGUGUUUGAAGGACAUUGUUGGAUGCCAGUCUUUUCUCUCGUUUCCUAGCCAUUCAAUGAACAGGUUUCCUUUGCCAUAUCCUCCUGUCACAAUGUACUUCCUUGCCCCGGGCCCAGAAGUAACAAGACCAACUGACCAUGGACUGAAACCUCCAAAACUACCAUUGGAGGGAAGUAAAUAGUUGUCAGUUAUCAGCAGUAAAUCCCGAUGUCAACAAGUUUCAAGAUGAAGUCCUACAAAACAGGAAGAGAACUUAUCAA
RNAcentral lists this long non-coding RNA (626 nucleotides) under Heterocephalus glaber (naked mole-rat). Its description in RNAcentral is "lncRNA (ENSHGLG00000041191.1)". The record is from RNAcentral. Lineage: Eukaryota; Metazoa; Chordata; Mammalia; Rodentia; Bathyergidae.